CUCCGGCUAAUACCCCGUACGCUUCCUCAACCGCAUGGUAAGGGAAGGAAAGGUAGCUUCGGCCAUCCGGCGAGGGAGGGGCCCGCGGUACAUUAGCUAGUUGGUGGGGUAACGGCCCACCAAGGCGACGAUGUAUAGCUGGUCUGAGAGGAUGAUCAGCCACACUGGGACUGAGACACGGCCCAGACUCCUACGGGAGGCAGCAGCCAGGAAUCUUGGGCAAUGGGCGCAAGCCUGACCCAGCAACACCGUGUGGGCGACGAAGGCUCUAGGGUCGUAAAGCCCUGUUGAUAGGGAC
Molecule: ribosomal RNA, 298 nt
Filed under: uncultured bacterium
Lineage: Bacteria
Description: partial 16S ribosomal RNA
Rfam family: Bacterial small subunit ribosomal RNA
Source: RNAcentral